CCUAUACCAUGUUAUGACCCAAGACUAGAGGUUUUUAGAGCCCAGUUUAUAAACAAAACCAUUUAAAAAUAAUUUUAGAAUUUGGCCUGUGUAAAUGUUAAUACAAUUUUGGAGCUAGAUCAGGAAUUUUGUCCUUGCAUAAAUGAGUUUGUGGUGCAAUGCAUGACUAGGGCUCUUCUGUGAUAUCAUAAUGAAAAUAACAGUAGUGUCACUGUAGUCCAGGGCACUCCUGAAGACCAUAGGAAAUUUUUUAACAGAGGAAGACAGCCAAGGAAAAGGUGGACAUGUGCUCUAUUAUGCAGAAAAUUUUCUCACCUCAGAAAUCCUCAUGGCAGCAAUUAAAAAAAAAAAAAAAACCCUAAAAAGAAUCACCCCACCAAAACCAACCCAAAACCUCAAGCCAAACUGGGAAUCACUGGAAGCACUGAGAACUAAAACAUGCAGUAGGCUGAGGGAUAAAAUACCAUUAUCCAAAGCAUCCCUUUGUAGGACUGCAGGUGCAGGGGAAUGUAAAACUUUCCUCCUUUAAAGCCCAAUGAAGGGAGGUGAAGACAUUUAUUUUUCAAAUGUAAUAAAAUGAACUUUAUAUUAUUAUUUCA
This 599-nucleotide long non-coding RNA is filed under the name Cyanistes caeruleus (blue tit). RNAcentral describes it as "lncRNA (ENSCCEG00000010738.1)". The record is from RNAcentral. Lineage: Eukaryota; Metazoa; Chordata; Aves; Passeriformes; Paridae.